This 353-nucleotide long non-coding RNA is filed under the name Homo sapiens (human). RNAcentral describes it as "HSALNT0102543". The record is from RNAcentral. Lineage: Eukaryota; Metazoa; Chordata; Mammalia; Primates; Hominidae.
UAUGUGGAUAUGAUAGCACUGGACACUUCGAGGCUCCAUUGGCAAAACAUGCGGCAAAUAGGAAACCAAGGGACCUUUGACAUUUAAGAAGUAUAUGCCCUAAGAUUUCUACAGAUCCUGAAAUUCAUCACUACGGCAGAAUCACGCAUCUUAUAGAUGGUGCUAAGUUUUUACAGUUGUCUUAGCCCCAGUGGUUCUCAAAGUGGGGUUCCUGGCCCAGCAGCAGCAUCCCGCUAGGAACUUCUUAGAAAUGCAAAGAAAACCAAGAAUAAAAUGACACCUGACAACCUUGCCAGCUCAGCACAUCUGGAGGCACUAAAUGUCUGACCCAGGAAAUGUGCAUCAAACUGACG